RNAcentral lists this long non-coding RNA (342 nucleotides) under Capsicum annuum. Its description in RNAcentral is "long non-coding RNA (CANN_LNC006425)". Lineage: Eukaryota; Viridiplantae; Streptophyta; Magnoliopsida; Solanales; Solanaceae. The record is from RNAcentral.
CAAUUCAAAAUGACUAAAUCACAACAUAUAUCUUUUAAAUGCAAAGCAUUAUUCAAUAUUCUAAUAAAUGCACGUACUAUGCUAACAGUACAUAUACCAAACUUUACCUAUGCUAACAGAAUAUAGAUUCACACCUCUAACAAAAGUCUAGGUAAUAUAUAAACCUAAAUGAAGCAAACAUCACUGUAUAAAUACACAACUAAAUUAAUGACUUUUUCUUUUUAAAAAAGUUGAUACAUAUGAUUCAUAGGAAUCGUCGACUCGAUCUAACCGAAACCAAGACAUGAAUAAAUUCAAAUCAAGAUGCUUAGAGAUUCGACAUGUCAAUUAUUUUAAUACUUG